This 23-nucleotide non-coding RNA is filed under the name Cricetulus griseus (Chinese hamster). Lineage: Eukaryota; Metazoa; Chordata; Mammalia; Rodentia; Cricetidae. The record is from RNAcentral.
AAAGGUUAAGAGCACUGACUGCU